UAGAAUAUAACAAAAUUUGACAGUGGUUUUUCUGCUAUUUCGGUCAAAAAUGGAGGACGGUUCGGUCAUGAGGGCCAGUUGUCGAUGGGUUCGCCCAAGUGAGGUUUUGGUAUUUGUUGUUUUGAUUUGUUCCAGAGCUUCGCCGUGCGCAUGGAAAAAGCUGGGUUUUAGAGUCACUGGUAUCGAUUUUCGGGGAGAUUCCAUCGGAUUCGGCGGCUUGGGUUCGCUUUUGCUGUCGAUCGCUGAAAAAUUCUGAUUGAUUGGUCAAACAGCAUUAUCUCCAGUCAAGCAACAAGCCAAAUAAGAUACAAAUCAGAUAUGACUUGUCUAUCUUUAUGCUUUUAUGAUGUUUUGAUACAGUUGAGAAUUUCCCUUUCCAUGUGGAAUUUGAUUAGGAUGCAUUUUCAGCUUAACAUUUUUUCUAUAACUUUUAUUAUUAAAUUGAGCAAAGAAAGGCUGUUGUAUAAUCGUCUCUAAGUUCAGAAGGAAGCUAAAACACAAUUUCACUUAUGUCCUGUUGAACAAUUAGAUUAUUCUUAUUUGAAUGCAAUUUACACAUAUAUAACACCGUCCUAUUGAUUCCUGAGAGUAAGAAGUAAUCUUAAUUUUAGGCUCUGUUUGGUAUAUCAUGAUUAGAAAUCCUGGGAUUUCUCCAGAAGUUCAAAUUAAGGAUCAAGUUCUAAAGGAAAUUCUUACUUUUUGUUUGACUAUUUGGCUGGGGGAAUUUAUGCACGAUUUUUGCUUAUCUUCGAAUCUUCAUCAUCCUUAGCCCCUGAAUUUCCUAUUUUACAGGUACUAAAUCCCCAUGUUUUAGGAAGCUAAUUUCUUAGCUUCCCAGUUCCAGAUGGGAAAUAAGUGGGUGUCUGGAUGAUAUCUUGAGAUUAUUGGAGAAAUCUCCAUACCAGUUUUUUUCUUCCUUGUUUUUAAACUUUUCUUUUGUGCUAACUCCCCCAGAGCUAAAUCAUGAUUUGUUGUGCAUUAUACAAUGGUGUACAGUUUACUGUGUUUCCUUUACAUAUGAGUGGUACAGCACUUGGCAAUCUCCUGAAGCUCUUUCAGGAACAAAGAUAGCCAUUGAUUGAACAUCAUUGCUUGGUGCUAAUUCUACCAUGGUGUCCUGUUAAAUGGGCUUUAUAAUGUUUAGUAGUUCUUACUCCCUGGUAACCUGUAAAGGAUGUUGUUGCAUCAUUUUUUAUAUCAUUCAGCUGCUCUUUCUGUGGUCCAGUUUGUCAAAAUGCUACUCAUUAGAGUUUUAAGUGAUUUUGGUUUUUAACAAAAUUAUUUACAUCUACUUGUCCUUUAAAAGGGAUCUCAAACUAAAAAGUAGGUCAUCAUUAGAGCCAUUGUUGGAAUGGAUGAGUUAUGUUGGCAAUCUGAUGUAUAUGGUGGUCGUUGCAGUUAAUGUGCUUGGAUAUAGAUAGUGAUCUCUAGCAAUAUUGAGGAUGCAUCUUGCAUGCCUAUAUUUUUCUCUAGCUGGAAUUUCCAAUGUUUUUUAUUUAAGAUAUUGUCUUAUACAAAGUUCAAUGUUGCAAAUUAUUGUGAAGUGCUUUUAAUUUUUUUCUAGCAAUAUUAAAUUUUUUUUGGACAGGCUUCAUGUGACUUAGUAUGAUUUCUGAGACUUUAGUAAUUUGUGAUACUUGGCAGAUUGUCAUGACCAACCAACAAGGUAUGGUUAAUCUUUUCCAGAGCAUCCAUGCUUCAAAAGCUUAUGGCAACAGGAUUAUUGCAGAGUGAUUUUCUUUAACUUGGCAUGCAGAAGUAGCAGCUUUGGUGAUGAUGAUGAUGUUGUCGAGACUAUAAACAAAGAAGGAAAUGAUGCUCGAAGGAGAUGGAAGCAACAGGGACAAGUUCAUGGUGUUUUCUUUAAGUGUAUGACCAAUAUAAUUAUUCUAUUAUUCAUCUGAAUUCUAUUCUUAUUUUUAUAUUUAAGGGGAUCUCAUCUUGACAAAGAAGGAAUGGGGCAUAUUUCAAUUA
Non-coding RNA from Musa acuminata subsp. malaccensis (wild Malaysian banana), 1974 nucleotides. NCBI's taxonomy places the organism in Eukaryota, Viridiplantae, Streptophyta, Magnoliopsida, Zingiberales, Musaceae. The record is from RefSeq and is a predicted model, not a curated record.